Molecule: ribosomal RNA, 253 nt
Filed under: uncultured bacterium
Lineage: Bacteria
Description: partial 16S ribosomal RNA
Rfam family: Bacterial small subunit ribosomal RNA
Source: RNAcentral
UACGUAGGGUGCAAGCGUUGUCCGGAAUUAUUGGGCGUAAAGAGCUCGUAGGCGGUUCGUCGCGUCGGCUGUGAAAUCCCGAGGCUCAACCUCGGGUCUGCAGUCGAUACGGGCGGACUGGAGUUCGGCAGGGGAGACUGGAAUUCCUGGUGUAGCGGUGAAAUGCGCUGAUAUCAGGAGGAACACCGGUGGCGAAGGCGGGUCUCUGGGCCGAUACUGACGCUGAGGAGCGAAAGCGUGGGGAGCGAACAGG